UCAGAUAGUGUCAGACUAGAUAUAUUC
RNAcentral lists this small RNA (27 nucleotides) under Bombyx mori (domestic silkworm). RNAcentral's name for it is "ovarian small RNA-25628". The record is from RNAcentral. Lineage: Eukaryota; Metazoa; Arthropoda; Insecta; Lepidoptera; Bombycidae.